RNAcentral lists this ribosomal RNA (259 nucleotides) under uncultured prokaryote. RNAcentral describes it as "partial 16S ribosomal RNA". It matches the Rfam family "Bacterial small subunit ribosomal RNA", at positions 524 to 782 of the family's 1533-position model. The record is from RNAcentral.
UACGUAGGUGGCAAGCGUUGUCCGGAAUUAUUGGGCGUAAAGCGCGCGCAGGCGGUCUCUUAAGUCUGAUGUGAAAGCCCACGGCUCAACCGUGGAGGGUCAUUGGAAACUGGGAGACUUGAGUGCAGAAGAGAAGAGUGGAAUUCCAUGUGUAGCGGUGAAAUGCGUAGAGAUAUGGAGGAACACCAGUGGCGAAGGCGACUCUUUGGUCUGUAACUGACGCUGAGGCGCGAAAGCGUGGGGAGCAAACGGGAUUAGA